UUGAAACCGAUUCCAGGGGUAAACCUGAGAAACCCGAAAGUUCGAAUGGGGAAAUUCAUUCGCGUUUCGGUUGCCAGCGAUGAGUAGUUGCUUGACUGAUGGCGUUCGCGUCGUUAGCUACUUCUGUUUUUCGUUCUGGUAUCGAACGCGUGCACUUUUCCCCUUGUAGGACGUCGCGAUCCGUUGGGUGUCGGUCUAAGGCCCACGGUGGAGUCCACGUUGACGUUUCGGCGUUUUGCGUGAACCCGUGGUGUCCCGGUCGACUCGCUCGACGGUAUAAAGAUGGUGUGGGGCCGCUAUUCAGUUAGCGUUCGGCCCAUGGCAAGCGCGCUCGGUGUUACGUGGAGAUCGGACCUAGUGCCGGUCCUACGCCCGAGUGACUGUUGGCUGUGGUGUUCUCGAACAGACCUCUUUGAAACACCGAUCUGCGACGCUAUAGCUUUGGGUACUUUCAGGACCCGUCUUGAA
This 468-nucleotide ribosomal RNA is filed under the name Crioceris duodecimpunctata (spotted asparagus beetle). RNAcentral describes it as "eukaryotic LSU rRNA". The record is from RNAcentral. Lineage: Eukaryota; Metazoa; Arthropoda; Insecta; Coleoptera; Chrysomelidae.